CCCACGCCGAGCUGCCGCCGUGAUGCCCCGCUGGGAAGGCUGUGAGGAGCUGCUGCUCAUGGCUCUCGGGCCCUGGGAGGGCGUUUGGGGCAUGUUUCCAGUAGUUGCUGAAACCAUUUGUGUCCAGGAUCCUCCCAGCUUCUCCCCUGCUCAGCACAGGCUGCCAAUGUACGCUUUUCCUUGUUGGAAUGGAAAGAUGCUUCUGGAUUAGCUGAAGAGCUCCAAGACUUAAGUCCUCCGGCGUGUACCCGGCUAACUUCUCUUUUGAACACGAAGUGCUAUUUGGGCAUUUUUGCCAAUUGGUUCUGAUAUGUAUCUGCCAUCGAGGCCUGUCAGUUUGGAGGAUUUGGAUCUGAAUGCCUUGUGACCUGUCUGCACAGCAAAUACCCCAUAUGGCUGACCUUAGCCUCCAGCAUCUGAACCAGUACCACAAAACCAAAAGCUUCUACUCUGAGCACAUUGUCCGACAUGAUCUGAGGCCACCAGGUCUUCGCCGCAGCAUGUGGGAUCUUCAGCUGUGGCAUGCAAGCUUAGUUGAAGCCUGUGGGAUCUAGUUCCCUGACCAGGGAUAAAACCCCCGCCUUCUGCAUCGGGAGCUCGGAAUCUUAGCCCCCGGACCACCAGCGAAGUUCUGAGAACAACUUUUUAUACCAAGAGGGGCAUCAGACUUAUUUGUUUAAAUUCUACAUUUCAUUUUUCUCUCCCUGUAUUAGUUUACUAGGGCUGCCAUAACAAAAUACCACAGAGCAGUUGGCUUAAACAACGCGUAUAUUUAUUUCUAAUACUUCUGGAGGCCAAGUCUCAGAUCUCAGUGUUGGCAUGCUUGGGUUUUUCCUGAAAGCUCUGUCCCUGGUUUGCAGAGGGUGUCAUACCCACUGUGUUCUCACUCGGCCUUACACGUGUCCCUGGAGGCUGACACUGCUUCCUCAUCUCCUACAAGACGAGUCAGAUUGGAUUAGGGUCCAGCCUAACCACCUCGCUGCAAUCUAAUUACCUCUUUAAAGGCCUGACCUUCCAAAUAUACUCACAUUUUGAAGUCCCGGAGUUAAGAGUUUCAACAUACAAAUUUGGAAGGGGUGGGGGUAUAAGAUUCAGUCCCUAACACUCCCUGAGUAAUCAAACAUUUCGGGGGAUUCUGGUGACGAGCAAUUCAGUUCCUAAAGAAGAACAGGAGAUAGUUUGCGAUAGACGGUAUCACAGGCUUGACUUUUUAAGUCCCGCAUCCCCACCCCUGGGGUACAGCCAGCUAAUAAAUGUUUCAUUGUUUUAACUCAU
Bubalus bubalis (water buffalo) is the source of this 1275-nucleotide long non-coding RNA. RefSeq lists it as uncharacterized. The record is from RefSeq and is a predicted model, not a curated record. Lineage: Eukaryota; Metazoa; Chordata; Mammalia; Artiodactyla; Bovidae. The transcript has 3 exons.